RNAcentral lists this ribosomal RNA (468 nucleotides) under uncultured bacterium. RNAcentral describes it as "partial 16S ribosomal RNA". It matches the Rfam family "Bacterial small subunit ribosomal RNA", at positions 28 to 507 of the family's 1533-position model. The record is from RNAcentral.
GACGAACGCUGGCGGCGUGCUUAACACAUGCCAGUCGAACGGAAAGGCCCUGCUUUUGUGGGGUGCUCGAGUGGCGAACGGGUGAGUAACACGUGAGUAACCUGCCCUUGACUUUGGGAUAACUUCAGGAAACUGGGGCUAAUACCGGAUAGGAGCUCCUGCUGCAUGGUGGGGGUUGGAAAGUUUCGGCGGUUGGGGAUGGACUCGCGGCUUAUCAGCUUGUUGGUGGGGUUGUGGCUUACCAAGGCUUUGACGGGUAGCCGGCCUGAGAGGGUGACCGGCCACAUUGGGACUGAGAUACGGCCCAGACUCCUACGGGAGGCAGCAGUGGGGAAUAUUGCACAAUGGGCGGAAGCCUGAUGCAGCAACGCCGCGUGCGGGAUGACGGCCUUCGGGUUGUAAACCGCUUUCGCCUGUGACGAAGCGUGAGUGACGGUAAUGGGUAAAGAAGCACCGGCUAACUACGUG